UUAAUACUCCCUCCGUCCCAAAAUUCUUGUCUUACAUUUGUCUAAAUACGGAUGUAUCAAGUCACGUUUUAGUAUUAGAUACAUCCGUACCUAGACAAGUCUAAGACAAGAAUAUUGGGACGGAGGGAGUACAUU
Molecule: non-coding RNA, 135 nt
Organism: Triticum aestivum (bread wheat)
Lineage: Eukaryota; Viridiplantae; Streptophyta; Magnoliopsida; Poales; Poaceae
Source: Rfam